This 429-nucleotide ribosomal RNA is filed under the name uncultured bacterium. RNAcentral describes it as "bacterial SSU rRNA". It matches the Rfam family "Bacterial small subunit ribosomal RNA", at positions 966 to 1394 of the family's 1533-position model. The record is from RNAcentral.
ACCCUUUCCCAGGUCUUGACCAUCCUUUGAAGCUUUUAGAGAUAGAAGUGUUCUCUUCGGAGACAAAGUGACAGGUGGUGCAUGGUCGUCGUCAGCCCGUGUCGUGAGAUGUUGGGUUAAGUCUCGCAACGAGCGCAACCCUUAUUGUUAGUUGCCAGCAUUCAGAUGGGCACUCUAGCGAGACUGCCGGUGACAAACCGGAGGAAGGCGGGGACGACGUCAGAUCAUCAUGCCCCUUAUGACCUGGGCUACACACGUGCUACAAUGGCGUAUACAACGAGUUACCAACCCGCGAGGGUGAGCUAAUCUCUUAAAGUACGUCUCAGUUCGGAUUGUAGUCUGCAACUCGACUACAUGAAGUCGGAAUCGCUAGUAAUCGCGGAUCAGCACGCCGCGGUGAAUACGUUCCCGGGUCUUGUACACACCCCU